CUCGAACUCUGGCAUUGAUUGCGGCUUGCUCAUGAUUUACAUUUGAGUGAGUGGCGAACUGGUGAGUAACACGUGGGAAACCUGCCCAGAAGCGGGGGAUAACACCUGGAAACAGAUGCUAAUACCGCAUAACAACUUGGACCGCAUGGUCCGAGUUUGAAAGAUGGCUUCGGCUAUCACUUUUGGAUGGUCCCGCGGCGUAUUAGCUAGAUGGUGGGGUAACGGCUCACCAUGGCAAUGAUACGUAGCCGACCUGAGAGGGUAAUCGGCCACAUUGGGACUGAGACACGGCCCAAACUCCUACGGGAGGCAGCAGUAGGGAAUCUUCCACAAUGGACGAAAGUCUGAUGGAGCAACGCCGCGUGAGUGAAGAAGGGUUUCGGCUCGUAAAACUCUGUUGUUAAAGAAGAACAUAUCUGAGAGUAACUGUUCAGGUAUUGACGGUAUUUAACCAGAAAGCCACGGCUAACUACGUGCCAGCAGCCGCGGUAAUACGUAGGUGGCAAGCGUUGUCCGGAUUUAUUGGGCGUAAAGCGAGCGCAGGCGGUUUUUUAAGUCUGAUGUGAAAGCCUUCGGCUCAACCGAAGAAGUGCAUCGGAAACUGGGAAACUUGAGUGCAGAAGAGGACAGUGGAACUCCAUGUGUAGCGGUGAAAUGCGUAGAUAUAUGGAAGAACACCAGUG
RNAcentral lists this ribosomal RNA (683 nucleotides) under Lactiplantibacillus plantarum. RNAcentral describes it as "bacterial SSU rRNA". It matches the Rfam family "Bacterial small subunit ribosomal RNA", at positions 61 to 714 of the family's 1533-position model. The record is from RNAcentral. Lineage: Bacteria; Bacillati; Bacillota; Bacilli; Lactobacillales; Lactobacillaceae.